GACGAACGCUGGCGGCGUGCUUAACACAUGCAAGUCGAACGGAAAGGCCCUGCUUUUGUGGGGUGCUCGAGUGGCGAACGGGUGAGUAACACGUGAGUAACCUGCCCUUGACUUUGGGAUAACUUCAGGAAACUGGGGCUAAUACCGGAUAGGAGCUCCUGCUGCAUGGUGGGGGUUGGAAAGUUUCGGCGGUUGGGGAUGGACUCGCGGCUUAUCAGCUUGUUGGUGGGGUAGUGGCUUACCAAGGCUUUGACGGGUAGCCGGCUUGAGAGGGUGACCGGCCACAUUGGGACUGAGGUACGGCCCAGACUCCUACGGGAGGCAGCAGUGGGGAAUAUUGCACAAUGGGCGGAAGCCUGAUGCAGCAACGCCGCGUGCGGGAUGACGGCCUUCGGGUUGUAAACCGCUUUCGCCUGUGACGAAGCGUGAGUGACGGUAAUGGGUAAAGAAGCACCGGCUAACUACGUG
This 468-nucleotide ribosomal RNA is filed under the name uncultured bacterium. Its description in RNAcentral is "partial 16S ribosomal RNA". It matches the Rfam family "Bacterial small subunit ribosomal RNA", at positions 28 to 507 of the family's 1533-position model. The record is from RNAcentral.